UGCAUGCAGUCGAACGCGCCCGCUUCGGCGGGCGAGUGGCGCACGGCUGAGUAACACGUGGGAACCUGCCCCCCGGUGGGGGAUAACGCGACGAAAGUCGCGCUAAUCCCGCAUACGUCCGCAGGGAGAAAGCGCGCACGCGCGCCGGGGGAGGGGCCUGCGGCCCAUCAGGUGGUUGGUAGGGUAACGGCCUACCAAGCCGAUGACGGGUAGCUGGUCUGGGAGGAUGGCCAGCCAGACUGGGACUGAGACACGGCCCAGACUCCUACGGGAGGCAGCAGCAAGGAAUUUUCGGCAAUGGGCGCAAGCCUGACCGAGCAACGCCGCGUGCGGGACGACGGCCUUCGGGUUGUAAACCGCUUUUCGGGGGGACGACAACCGACGGUACCCCCGGAAGAAGCCCCGGCUAACUCUGUGCCAGCAGCCGCGGUAAGACAGAGGGGGCGAGCGUUGUCCGGAGUCACUGGGCGUAAAGCGCGCGCAGGCGGUCGCCUAAGUGUCGUGUGAAAGCCCCCGGCUCAACUGGGGGAGGCCAUGGCAAACUGGGCGACUGGAGCGGCGGAGAGGCCCCUCGAAUUGCCGGUGUAGCGGUGAAAUGCGUAGAGAUCGGCAGGAAGACCAAGGGGGAAGCCAGGGGGCUGGCCGCCAGCUGACGCUGAGGCGCGACAGCGUGGGGAGCAAACCGGAUUAGAUACCCGGGUAGUCCACGCCGUAAACGAUGACCACUCGGCGUGUGGCGACUAUUGACGUCGCGGCGCGCCUAAGCUAACGCGUUAAGUGGUCCGCCUGGGAACUACGAGCGCAAGCUUAA
This 811-nucleotide ribosomal RNA is filed under the name Roseiflexus sp. RNAcentral's name for it is "bacterial SSU rRNA". It matches the Rfam family "Bacterial small subunit ribosomal RNA", at positions 52 to 897 of the family's 1533-position model. The record is from RNAcentral. Lineage: Bacteria; Bacillati; Chloroflexota; Chloroflexia; Chloroflexales; Roseiflexaceae.